CUGAACUCAACCACCAACCAAAAGAUGCAGUAGUUAAUUUCAUCAUAUCCACAAAAUCCACUUUU
This 65-nucleotide small RNA is filed under the name Arabidopsis thaliana (thale cress). Its description in RNAcentral is "ATSL022700". The record is from RNAcentral. Lineage: Eukaryota; Viridiplantae; Streptophyta; Magnoliopsida; Brassicales; Brassicaceae.